Molecule: ribosomal RNA, 311 nt
Filed under: uncultured eukaryote
Lineage: Eukaryota
Description: partial 18S ribosomal RNA
Rfam family: Eukaryotic small subunit ribosomal RNA
Source: RNAcentral
CCCCUAGACGUUCUGGGCUGCACGCGCGCUACAAUAAUACGCACAGCGAGUAUCACCGAGCUCGAAAGGGCAAGGUAAACAAUAGAAAAGGUACUGUGAUGGUUAUAGAUCCUUGUAAUUAUUGAUCUUCAACGAGGAAUUCCUAGUAAGUAUGUGUCAUCAUCACGCACUGAUUACGUCCCUGCCCUUUGUACACACCGCCCGUCGCUCCUACCGAUUGGGUGAGCCGAUGAAACUCUCGGAUGUAGGCUAUUCAUAGCCCGCAGAAGAGAUUUGAAUCGUAGCGCUUAGAGGAAGGAGAAGUCGUAACA